RNAcentral lists this ribosomal RNA (492 nucleotides) under uncultured bacterium. Its description in RNAcentral is "partial 16S ribosomal RNA". It matches the Rfam family "Bacterial small subunit ribosomal RNA", at positions 29 to 507 of the family's 1533-position model. The record is from RNAcentral.
AGUGAACGCUGGCGGUAGGCCUAACACAUGCAAGUCGAACGGCAGCACAGUAAGAGCUUGCUCUUACGGGUGGCGAGUGGCGGACGGGUGAGGAAUACAUCGGAAUCUACUUUUUCGUGGGGGAUAACGUAGGGAAACUUACACUAAUACCGCAUACGACCUACGGGUGAAAGCAGGGGAUCUUCGGACCUUGCGCGAUUGAAUGAGCCGAUGUCGGAUUAGCUAGUUGGCGGGGUAAAGGCCCACCAAGGCGACGAUCCGUAGCUGGUCUGAGAGGAUGAUCAGCCACACUGGAACUGAGACACGGUCCAGACUCCUACGGGAGGCAGCAGUGGGGAAUAUUGGACAAUGGGCGCAAGCCUGAUCCAGCCAUACCGCGUGGGUGAAGAAGGCCUUCGGGUUGUAAAGCCCUUUUGUUGGGAAAGAAAAGCAGCAGGUUAAUACCCCGCUGUUCUGACGGUGCCCAAAGAAUAAGCACCGGCUAACUUCGUG